RNAcentral lists this long non-coding RNA (494 nucleotides) under Marmota monax (woodchuck). The record is from RNAcentral. Lineage: Eukaryota; Metazoa; Chordata; Mammalia; Rodentia; Sciuridae.
GACACUAGCUAUCAGACUCCAUUCUAGAGCCUAAAAAGCCAUCUAGGGAACAGAGUAAUGAACCCAUUUUAUAUGUUAGGAUUUGUCCUUUUUGUAUAUCUCGACUAGUGGGAAUUUCCUGGAGUUUGGAAAGUACCACUUAAUCUUUUACAUAAGGAAAUUAUGUAGGCAGGUUAGUUCUUCUCCAAAAAGACUAGGGUUUUUUUGUUUGUCUUUUAAGAUUCUUGAGACCUUUAGUUUCCUGAACUGGAAGAUAAUAAUUUGUUUUUCCACAAAGGACUAGUGACAUCUGUUUUUUCAGUAAACCCAAGGCGAAUGAUUCUUGAAUAUUUUUUCCUAUUCUUUGACCACUUGUCAUAUAUGCGUCUAUCUCUAACGAAAAUAUAUAUAUACACACCCACACACACAUAUAUGUACAUAUGUAUGUAUAUAUAUGCACAUUUAUAUGUCAAAUUUACAUAUAUAUAUAUACACACACACACUUUUUAAUAUAC